GGCAGUUCUUGGGUGACAUAUCCUGGAAUCAGGCUCUCUUCUCUCUGGUUCCGGGUGCAUCACCCGAGGACUGCA
Molecule: non-coding RNA, 75 nt
Organism: Myotis davidii
Lineage: Eukaryota; Metazoa; Chordata; Mammalia; Chiroptera; Vespertilionidae
Source: Rfam